GAGCCAGCUUGCGUUCAAAUCCCAGAACUCAUAUGGAUGGAAAGAGAGGAUAGAUUCUCCAUGCACGUAUGCACAGUAAUACGGUUUUGGGUUUUGUUUUUAAAGUAUAGCUUUUGUCGUCAAAGAACGUUAUUCUCCAUGACCUCGGUGACGAUGCAAUACUACUAGUAAAAGUACAAUCCAUGGCUCCAAACCUUAGUCGGCCCCGAGACCUUAGCACAACUGACUCCAUGAUGGAGUGCCAUUCAGGCUGUAAAACUCAGCUUGCCCAUAGCAGCACCACCUGCUAAAAUGAAAACAAAGACUUACUCCACCAAAGUCCAUGGCUCUGGUUCCCAUUGCCUCUGCUUUUGGAUGAGGAAACUGUCGUUUAAGGAGGACGUCCAAAACUGUGAUUAGUAAUAUGCUGAGGGGAAACUGAGGCAAUGUCGGGAAAGCUGCACCAAUCACACUGCGAAAGUCUGGAUCAAGCAAGACCAGAAGUCGAGGCAGAAAGGACGAGAUCAGCUGCUGGUUCAGCUGGACAGGUCUGGUUAAGGCUUGCUCACCGUCAGCCUCGAGAGAUGGCUCAACUGCCACGAUCUCUGACUGCCCCUGCAGAGGACCCAGGUUCAAUUCCCAGCACCCAUGUGGCAGGCCACAACAUUCUAUGACCCCAGUUUGAAGAGAGCCAACACUGUCUUCUGGUUUCCAAGGGCACCAGAAAUGCAUGGUACACAGACAAGCAGACAGACAGACACAUAAAAUGAAAAUAUAUAGAUCUUUAAAAAAGGAAGGAAAGAAAGAGGAGAAAGGUUAGAUCAGCCACUAAUUCAAGGAUUCAGGGUUCAACCAUGUUUUUUACAAAGAAAGAAAUUUAAAGGAAGGAAAGGGUGCUGCUGGUAAGACAGCCCAACAGGUAAAGGGCCUUGCCAUCCAGUUUGAGAAUGGAGUUCAAAUCCCCGUACCCCAAGUGGGAGGAGAGAACGACUCCAGCAGGUUGGUCCUUGACCUCCACGUGUGCACUGUGGCACCUGCAUACCCUGUCACCAUCCACUAAUGCAGGCUUAAUCCUAGAAUCAGCCAGUAGGUGGAGAUGCUCCCUGUCUAUCAUAGAAGUGUUCAGGAAAUAGAAUCGAAUUGAUUCCUUUGGGAUUUUGAAAACGACAACAACAGACUCAUGCUCUCGGUGUGUGAAUGUUUCCACUGUCUAGGACAUGGCACACAGUUGUGGCAGCCUUUCCUGUGUCCUUGUCGGCUGUGGCUGCCGUCCUUCCCCUCUCUUUCAUUUCAUAUUAUCUACUCGGUGUUUCUAGGAAAGGGUCACCAAGGUUGAGCUACAGCCAUUGCUCUGUCAUUUCCUGUUCUGCUCAGGUCCCUGGAAAUACCUCCACACCAAUAUCAGCUAAUGGUGGCAGCCCAGGGCGAUAGGCAACUCCACCUCUGGAAUCCGCCCCAGCUGCUCGCUCAAUGCCUGAGUGCAUUCAUUGGCCCCUGACUCUCGAGAGACACUUCUUAGGGGUGACAUCACACUGAGAGGACGCCGUGCUGUAAGUCUGCAGACCGGAGCAGACUAGAGCCUAGUGCUUUUCUUACCCCAUCCCAUGGAAAGGACAUACUGGAAUAUGUAAAACAGCACUCCACACCAUGUGGCUAAUAAAUGUCAUUUCUCUACAUUCUGACUGCUCACCUGACCUUAUAGGGAACUAGGGAGAAAAAUCACCAUUAAGUCUCAACCUGUGUGUACUUCAGACAUUGAGUGUCCCCAAAAGCCUUUGUCGAAGGCUUGGUUCCAAAGGAGCCACUGUUAGAGAUGGUGGAGCCUAGUGAAAGGUAUCUCGGGAUGGGGAGGAGCUCUACUGGAAAAGGGUUACAGGCUCCUGCUUCCUCUCCUCUCUUUGAUUCCCUGUUCAUGGUUUAGUACCAUUCCUCUACCACACUCUGGUCAUGACGUGUGGCCUUCUCAGGGCACAGCUUGUCAGGGGCCCAAAGCAAUGAGCUACUUAAUCACAGACCGGAAGCUACAGAACUAUGAGCCAAAAUAAACCUUUUUCUGAUCCA
RNAcentral lists this small RNA (2040 nucleotides) under Rattus norvegicus (Norway rat). Its description in RNAcentral is "uncharacterized LOC102553451". Lineage: Eukaryota; Metazoa; Chordata; Mammalia; Rodentia; Muridae. The record is from RNAcentral.